RNAcentral lists this ribosomal RNA (490 nucleotides) under uncultured bacterium. RNAcentral describes it as "partial 16S ribosomal RNA". It matches the Rfam family "Bacterial small subunit ribosomal RNA", at positions 30 to 507 of the family's 1533-position model. The record is from RNAcentral.
AUUGAACGCUGGCGGCAGGCCUAACACAUGCAAGUCGAACGGUAACAGGAAGAAGCUUGCUUCUUUGCUGACGAGUGGCGGACGGGUGAGUAAUGUCUGGGAAACUGCCUGAUGGAGGGGGAUAACUACUGGAAACGGUAGCUAAUACCGCAUAACGUCGCAAGCCCAAAAAGGGGGACCUUCGGGCCUCUGGCCUCCGGAGUUGCCCAGAUGGGAUUAGCUAGUAGGUGGGGUAACGGCUCACCUAGGCGACGAUCCCUAGCUGGUCUGAGAGGAUGACCAGCCACACUGGAACUGAGACACGGUCCAGACUCCUACGGGAGGCAGCAGUGGGGAAUAUUGCACAAUGGGCGCAAGCCUGAUGCAGCCAUGCCGCGUGUAUGAAGAAGGCCUUCGGGUUGUAAAGUACUUUCAGCGGGGAGGAAGGGAGUAAAGUUAAUACCUUUGCUCAUUGACGUUACCCGCAGAAGAAGCACCGGCUAACUCCGUG